UAUGUAGGGGGCGAGCGUUGCCCGGAAUCAUUGGGCGUAAAGGGCGCGCAGGCGGCCUGAUUAGUCGUGGGUGAAAUCGUUCGGCUCAACCGAGCGGGGGCCUGCGAAACGGUCGGGCUGGAGCAAGGCAGGGGGUCGUGGAAUUCCCGGUGUAGUGGUGGAAUGCGUAGAGACCGGGAGGAACACCAGUGGCGAAGGCGGCGACCUGGGCCUGUGCUGACGCUGAGGCGCGAAAGCGUGGGGAGCAAACGGG
Molecule: ribosomal RNA, 253 nt
Filed under: uncultured bacterium
Lineage: Bacteria
Description: partial 16S ribosomal RNA
Rfam family: Bacterial small subunit ribosomal RNA
Source: RNAcentral